This 253-nucleotide ribosomal RNA is filed under the name uncultured bacterium. RNAcentral's name for it is "partial 16S ribosomal RNA". It matches the Rfam family "Bacterial small subunit ribosomal RNA", at positions 524 to 776 of the family's 1533-position model. The record is from RNAcentral.
UACGGGGGGGGCAAGCGUUGUUCGGAAUUACUGGGCGUAAAGGGCUCGUAGGCGGCCAACUAAGUCAGACGUGAAAUCCCUCGGCUUAACCGGGGAACUGCGUCUGAUACUGGAUGGCUAGAGUUUGGGAGAGGGAUGCGGAAUUCCAGGUGUAGCGGUGAAAUGCGUAGAUAUCUGGAGGAACACCGGUGGCGAAGGCGGCAUCCUGGAUCAACACUGACGCUGAGGAGCGAAAGCCAGGGGAGCAAACGGG